UUAAAAGUUAUUAUCAUUGUUGUCACAAAAUGAAAUAGGCUUAGAAUGAUACAUCAUCAUCGUCGGUAACAACAAAAUACGGCCCAGUGCCGCUACGGCUGCAACCAGAGUUACCACGCCAAGUAGCAAGCUUACAUCAUCGCGGAAAACACUUCAAAUCCACAAUAAAUCGACAUACACAGUCUAUGCUUUUCACCACCAUGAUCGUGCCUCGGCGCUUCUGAUCAUCAACACAUUAUAAACAUCCAACACAACAUUAUAAAUUAGGUAUCAAGGUGUCAUGAGUCUAAACAUCCAGCACAACAAACAUGGCCAACACAACAUAUAACACUCAUCUUACCCAUAUUAUACAAUCUCUCAUCUUCAUAAUUUUCUGA
This 377-nucleotide long non-coding RNA is filed under the name Helianthus annuus (common sunflower). RNAcentral's name for it is "sRNA HanXRQr2_Chr08g0349591". Lineage: Eukaryota; Viridiplantae; Streptophyta; Magnoliopsida; Asterales; Asteraceae. The record is from RNAcentral.